RNAcentral lists this ribosomal RNA (659 nucleotides) under uncultured bacterium. RNAcentral describes it as "bacterial SSU rRNA". It matches the Rfam family "Bacterial small subunit ribosomal RNA", at positions 744 to 1399 of the family's 1533-position model. The record is from RNAcentral.
CGCUGUGGUUCGAAAGCGUGGGUCAGCAAACAGGAUUAGAUACCCUGGUAGUCCACGCCGUAAACGAUGAAUGCUAAGUUGUCGGAGGGUUUCCGCCCUUCAGUGUUGCAGCUAACGCAAUAAGCAUUCCGCCUGGGGAGUACGACCGCAAGGUUGAAACUCAAAGGAAUUGACGGGGGCCCGCACAAGCGGUGGAGCAUGUGGUUUAAUUAGAAGCAACGUGAAGAACCUUGCCAGGUCUCGACAUCUUUUGACACUCCUAGAGAUAGGACUCUCCCUUCGGGGACAGAAUGACAGGUGGUGCAUGGUUGUCGUCAGCUCGCGUUGUGAGAUGUCGGGCUAAGUCCCGCACCGAGCGCAACCCUUACCCACACUAGCCAGCACAAAAGGUGGGCACUCUGUGGGGACAGCCGGGGACAACCCGGAGGAAGGUGGGGAGGACGUCAAAUCAUCAUGCCCCUUAUGGCCGGGGCUACACACGUGCUCCAAUGGCGUAAACAAAGGGAAGCGAGAGAGUGAUAUUAAGCGAAACUCAAAAAUAACGUCCCAGCUUGGAUUGCAGUCUGCAACUCGACUGCAUGAAGCUGGAAUCGCUAGUAAUCGCGGAUCAGAAUGCCGCGGUGAAUACGUUCACAGGGUCUUGCACACACCGCCCGUCA